GACGAACGCUGGCGGCGUGCUUAACACAUGCAAGUCGAACGGAAAGGCCCUGCUUUUGUGGGGUGCUCGAGUGGCGAACGGGUGAGUAACACGUGAGUAACCUGCCCUUGACUUUGGGAUAACUUCAGGAAACUGGGGCUAAUACCGGAUAGGAGCUCCUGCUGCAUGGUGGGGGUUGGAACGUUUCGGCGGUUGGGGAUGGACUCGCGGGUGAUCAGCUUGUUGGUGGGGUAGUGGCUUACCAAGGGUUUGACGGGUAGCCGGCCCGAGAGGGUGACCGGCCACAUUGGGACUGAGAUACGGCCCAGACUCCUACGGGAGGCAGCAGUGGGGAAUAGUGCACAAUGGGCGGAAGCCUGAUGCAGCAACGCCGCGUGCGGGAUGACGGCCUUCGGGUUGUAAGCCGCUUUCGCCUGUGACGAAGCGUGAGUGACGGUAAUGGGUAAAGAAGCACCGGCUAACUACGUG
Molecule: ribosomal RNA, 468 nt
Filed under: uncultured bacterium
Lineage: Bacteria
Description: partial 16S ribosomal RNA
Rfam family: Bacterial small subunit ribosomal RNA
Source: RNAcentral